AGCUAAAUUAGCAGAUAUAAUGUAUUCAAUUUAGGAUUGAAAGGAAAUGUUAAAAAUUAUUUAGUUA
RNAcentral lists this transfer RNA (67 nucleotides) under Pliocardia sp. A3710_17_S18. RNAcentral describes it as "tRNA-Leu". The record is from RNAcentral. Lineage: Eukaryota; Metazoa; Mollusca; Bivalvia; Venerida; Vesicomyidae.